UACGAAGGGUGCGAGCGUUAUUCGGAUUUAUUGGGCGUAAAGCGCGUGUAGGCGGCUUUGCAAGUCGGGUGUGAAAUCCCUCAGCUUAACUGAGGAAGUGCGCCCGAAACUGCAGAGCUUGAGUACCGGAGAGGGUGGCGGAAUUCCCCAAGUAGAGGUGAAAUUCGUAGAUAUGGGGAGGAACACCGGUGGCGAAGGCGGCGACCUGGGUAGAUACUGACGCUGAGGCGCGAAAGCGUGGGGAGCAAACAGG
This 253-nucleotide ribosomal RNA is filed under the name uncultured bacterium. RNAcentral describes it as "partial 16S ribosomal RNA". It matches the Rfam family "Bacterial small subunit ribosomal RNA", at positions 524 to 776 of the family's 1533-position model. The record is from RNAcentral.